RNAcentral lists this ribosomal RNA (245 nucleotides) under uncultured Veillonellaceae bacterium. RNAcentral's name for it is "partial 16S ribosomal RNA". It matches the Rfam family "Bacterial small subunit ribosomal RNA", at positions 524 to 768 of the family's 1533-position model. Lineage: Bacteria; Bacillati; Bacillota; Negativicutes; Veillonellales; Veillonellaceae. The record is from RNAcentral.
UACGUAGGUGGCGAGCGUUGUCCGGAAUUAUUGGGCGUAAAGAGCGCGUAGGUGGGACCAUAAGUCUGCAUGUAAAAGUGCGGGGCUCAACCCCGUGAGGCGUGGGAAACUAUGGUUCUUGAGUGCAGGAGAGGGAAGCGGAAUUCCCAGUGUAGCGGUGAAAUGCGUAGAUAUUGGGAGGAACACCAGUGGCGAAGGCGGCUUUCUGGACUGUGUCUGACACUGAGGCGCGAAAGCCAGGGGAG